UGUGUGUGUGUGUGUGUGUGUGUGUGUGUGUGUGUGUGUGUGUGUGUGUGUGUGUGUGUGUGUCUGUGAAAACUAAACCUUGCUGUCCAAGUGCACUUUUUUAGACUAGCUUUGCUUUAGAGCUUUUACGAUGAGUUGUUUUUUUGUUUUUUUUUGACAGUAGACAGAAGUGUUGGUCUA
Molecule: non-coding RNA, 180 nt
Organism: Electrophorus electricus (electric eel)
Lineage: Eukaryota; Metazoa; Chordata; Actinopteri; Gymnotiformes; Gymnotidae
Source: RefSeq, a predicted model, not a curated record